AAGGCCUUAGCUUAAUUAAAGCAUCUGUUUUGCACACAGAAUAUGUGGGAUAGUGCCCCGCAGGCCUUA
Molecule: transfer RNA, 69 nt
Filed under: Percopsis transmontana (sand roller)
Lineage: Eukaryota; Metazoa; Chordata; Actinopteri; Percopsiformes; Percopsidae
Description: tRNA-Ala
Rfam family: tRNA
About the family: Transfer RNA (tRNA) molecules are approximately 80 nucleotides in length.
Source: RNAcentral